This 489-nucleotide ribosomal RNA is filed under the name uncultured bacterium. Its description in RNAcentral is "partial 16S ribosomal RNA". It matches the Rfam family "Bacterial small subunit ribosomal RNA", at positions 28 to 507 of the family's 1533-position model. The record is from RNAcentral.
GACGAACGCUGGCGGCGUGCUUAACACAUGCAAGUCGAACGGAAAGGCCCCCAUCUUGGUGGGGGUGCUCGAGUGGCGAACGGGUGAGUAACACGUGGGUGAUCUGCCCUGUACUUCGGGAUAAGCUUGGGAAACUGGGUCUAAUACCGGAUAGGACCAUGGUUUAGUGUCUCAUGGUGGAAAGAUUAUUGUUUUGGUGCAGGAUGAGCUCGCGGCCUAUCAGCUUGUUGGUGGGGUAAUGGCCUACCAAGGCGUCGACGGGUAGCCGGCCUGAGAGGGUGGACGGCCACAUUGGGACUGAGAGACGGCCCAGACUCCUACGGGAGGCAGCAGUGGGGAAUAUUGCACAAUGGGCGCAAGCCUGAUGCAGCGACGCCGCGUGGGGGAUGACGGCCUUCGGGUUGUAAACUCCUUUCGUUAGGGACGAAGCCGCACUUUUUUUGGGUGUGGUGACGGUACCUUUGUUAAGAAGCACCGGCUAACUACGUG